UACGUAGGUGGCGAGCGUUGUCCGGAUUUAUUGGGCGUAAAGCGCGCGCAGGUGGUGCGGUAAGUCUGUCGUGAAAUCUCCCGGCUCAACUGGGAGGGUGCGGUGGAGACUGCCGGACUGGAGGCACUCAGAGGCCGGUGGAAUUCCCGGUGUAGUGGUGAAAUGCGUAGAGAUCGGGAGGAACACCUGUGGCGAAGGCGGCCCCCUGGUUGGAUACUGACGCUGAUACGCGAAAGCGUGGGGAGCAAACAGGG
Molecule: ribosomal RNA, 254 nt
Filed under: uncultured bacterium
Lineage: Bacteria
Description: partial 16S ribosomal RNA
Rfam family: Bacterial small subunit ribosomal RNA
Source: RNAcentral